Molecule: ribosomal RNA, 668 nt
Filed under: uncultured bacterium
Lineage: Bacteria
Description: bacterial SSU rRNA
Rfam family: Bacterial small subunit ribosomal RNA
Source: RNAcentral
UAUCGACCCCUCCCGUGCCGAAGCUAACGCGAUAAGUAUCCCGCCUGGGGAGUACGGCCGCAAGGCUAAAACUCAAAGGAAUUGACGGGGACCCGCACAAGCAGCGGAGCGUGUGGUUUAAUUCGAUGAUAAGCGAAGAACCUUACCAGGGCUUGACAUGUAUUUGAAAGCNUUNGAAAGUUGGUCGUCCUUCGGGACAAUUACACAGAUGUUGCAUGGCUGUCGUCAGCUCGUGCCGUGAGGUGUUGGGUUAAGUCCCGCAACGAGCGCAACCCUUGUCGUUAGUUACUAUGUCUAGCGAGACUGCCCCUAUUAAGGCGGAGGAAGGUGGGGACGACGUCAAGUCGGCAUGGCUCUUACGCCCUGGGCUACACACACGCUACAAUGGCCGGUACAGAGGGUCGCGAAGGAGCGAUCUGGAGCUAAUCCCACAAAACCGGUCCCAGUUGGAAUUGCAGGNUGCAACCCGCCUGCAUGAGCGCGGAGUUGCUAGUAACCGCAGGUCAGCACACUGCGGUGAAUACGUUCUCGGGUCUUGUACACACCGCCCGUCACGUCAUGGAAGUCGGUAACACUUGAAGUCGCUGGGCCAACCCCUUGUGGGAGGCAGGUGCCGAGGGUGGGACUGGUGACUGGGACGAAGUCGUAACAAGGUAACCAAGGGCGAA